GGCGGCAUAGCCAAGAGGCUAAGGCGAGGGUCUGCAAAACCCUUAUUCCCGGGUUCGAAUCCCGGUGCCGCCU
This 73-nucleotide transfer RNA is filed under the name bacterium. RNAcentral describes it as "tRNA-Cys". It matches the Rfam family "tRNA". From Rfam's summary of the family: Transfer RNA (tRNA) molecules are approximately 80 nucleotides in length. Their secondary structure includes four short double-helical elements and three loops (D, anti-codon, and T loops). RNAcentral also lists the same sequence under 3 other names. The record is from RNAcentral.